Molecule: unclassified non-coding RNA, 335 nt
Filed under: soil metagenome
Description: partial contains 5.8S ribosomal RNA, internal transcribed spacer 2, and large subunit ribosomal RNA
Rfam family: 5.8S ribosomal RNA (bases 1-120)
Source: RNAcentral
GAUGAAGAACGUAGCGAAAUGCGAUAAGUAAUGUGAAUUGCAGAAUUCAGUGAAUCAUCGAAUCUUUGAACGCACAUUGCGCCCGCCAGCAUUCUGGCGGGCAUGCCUGUUCGAGCGUCAUUUCAACCAUCAAGCCCCGGGCUUGUGUUGGGGACCUGCGGCUGCCGCAGGCCCUGAAAAGCAGUGGCGGGCUCGCUGUCACACCGAGCGUAGUAGCAUACAUCUCGCUCUGGGCGUGCUGCGGGUUCCGGCCGUUAAACCACCUUUUAACCCAAGGUUGACCUCGGAUCAGGUAGGAAGACCCGCUGAACUUAAGCAUAUCAAUAAGCGGAGGA